UACGGAGGGAGCUAGCGUUGUUCGGAAUUACUGGGCGUAAAGCGCGCGUAGGCGGCUUUGUAAGUUAGAGGUGAAAGCCCGGGGCUCAACCCCGGAACUGCCUUUAAGACUGCAUCGCUAGAAUCCGGGAGAGGUGAGUGGAAUUCCGAGUGUAGAGGUGAAAUUCGUAGAUAUUCGGAAGAACACCAGUGGCGAAGGCGGCUCACUGGACCGGCAUUGACGCUGAUGUGCGAAAGCGUGGGGAGCAAACAGG
RNAcentral lists this ribosomal RNA (253 nucleotides) under uncultured bacterium. RNAcentral's name for it is "partial 16S ribosomal RNA". It matches the Rfam family "Bacterial small subunit ribosomal RNA", at positions 524 to 776 of the family's 1533-position model. The record is from RNAcentral.